Non-coding RNA from Pelodiscus sinensis (Chinese soft-shelled turtle), 1593 nucleotides. The record is from RefSeq and is a predicted model, not a curated record. NCBI's taxonomy places the organism in Eukaryota, Metazoa, Chordata, Testudines, Trionychidae.
UCAGAUGAGGAGAAAAAGGCCCUUGAAUCUGAAUGCCGGGAGCUGCGUCGGAAGCAGGAGUCUCUGGAGAAUGAGUUCAAGCGGCUGAAAUCAGUUCCCAUCACCCUGGAAUCAGAAUGCAAACACCCUGUGGAUGGCAGAACAGUCCAGCAGGAACCCCCAUCCACUAGGGCAUCUCUGAGCCGAUUCUCCAGCAACGAUGAAGGAGGAAUCAGAUCCAAUCCACAGCGCCUGGGAAGGAAUCUCCCCUAAAGGGAAAACAGAGACGUGGGGAUGUUCCUGAUGUUUCCUCCUCCGUGAGCUCAAAGGAAACCCCCCCACACACUGACUUGUGAUACUUAGAACUGAACCCCACAUACAUCGGACUGUGCUGAUUGGCGGGAACUGUGUUAGUGUGUCUGUAAAAUGGGGAAAUUCCAUACACACCGCGUGGGGAUGUGGAAAGGGAGGGUUUCAUAGUGGACCUGACUCACUCUCAUUGCAGACAUACACACACGUGGCUCCUGCCAGCUUCAGACACUGAGCAGCACCCCAAGGGUUGAGUCCAUUCCUCUAACUGCCCCUGGGCUCUGGCCGGGCUCACAGGGAUCAGGGACGAUGCUGCGGAAGCUUCUCGUGGAACAAGGACGUGGGGAAGUUCAGACACUGUUGGAAAUUGCCUCCCUCAGGAGGGAGGGGUGACAGCGUUUGUGUCCCCCACAGGCUCUCACUCGGGAAUUCUCCUGCUGGAUCAACCCCAGAUGCCCUCAGCAAACCCUGAUUUCAGAGAAACCACAUUUCCUUGGGGCAUUUCUCCACCCAGGAAAUGCUGAUCAGACUGGUGCUCUGCUGCUUCUUCCACUAGCCCUAGGCAGGAGCCGAGAGGGGGAAAGGAGCAAUGGGGAAGUGCCCCCAGCUGCUGCCUGUGUGCAGGGAGCUGGCAGAGGAUGAAAUACACCCUGUCUGUGUGUCCAUACACCCUGUCUGUCUGUCUGUACAGCCUGGAGCUCUCUGUUCUGGCCACUCCUAGACCACCAGGCCUUCACCAGGUGCUGGAGGUGGAUCAUCUGAGCUGGGCUGUUCUAAACUCCCAAGGACGGCAGCCAAAAUCCCACCCAUUCCCAGAGCAACACAGUGAUACCGGUAUGAACUAGAUAUACUCAGAGGUGGGGGCGGGGAGUAGUCACAGGACCAUUCACAGAAUCCCAGAGAUUCCCCCAGACCCCAUUUCUGCUUUGCCCCAUCUCCCUCCAAUCCCUUCAAGGCCAAAUCCAACCUCCAAGGAGAGCUCUCUCCAGGCCCAUCAGUGCUGUGUGGCCCAUGGCCAAACUCACCUGUGUGUGGCCCAGGCUCUCCUCAUGUAGUCUCAUGGGUGGUGAUGGUUUAGAGGCUUUGCCCCAGGAAUGUCCCUGUUAAAAAUCUGGGAGAGUGUCAGAAAUGGGAGGGGGGAAUUUGGGGGUUACUUUUUAUUUAGAGAAAACUUUUUUGGCACUUUGUCAGGCAAUUCCAGCCCAGAAUAGUACUUGAUGUCAUUUUAAGUUUUGAUAAGAAAAAUGGCUGGAAAUUUCAGUGGUUUGUCUCCCCCUCCCCUUGUUCCCAUUUUAGGGGCUGAAG